Molecule: long non-coding RNA, 809 nt
Organism: Talpa occidentalis (Iberian mole)
Lineage: Eukaryota; Metazoa; Chordata; Mammalia; Eulipotyphla; Talpidae
Exons: 3
Source: RefSeq, a predicted model, not a curated record
AGCUGGGUUGGGUUCCCCACGAGCUGGUAAUGUCCUCUGAAGGAAGAGUGUUUCUGCUCUGACCUCUAGGGUGUGGCUGGUUUCUCUGAACUGUGAUAAUCACCUCUGGGGGUGUAUCUGCUUCAACUGCUGGUAAAUUGUGAAGGUCUGAGCAGGAAUCUUUCUAGCACCUUAGAAAACUUCAUAGGAAAGUUGGAAAAUGUCAUGGUCCAGGAAUGUGAAUGCCAACCCACCCUGGACACAGCUCUGCAGUUCACACACAGAUGCAAAAGUAAAAGAUUUUAUCAAGAACAUCACCAAGUUAACUGAAGAGCUCCAGUCUCCUAUCCACACCUAAAAUGAAACUAUCAAUAGUAUUUUAGAAGCAAAUAUUUCCCAUUCAAAGGUACUGUCUCACCAGCUCUGCUUUGUUCAUGGCAGGAGACUCAGCCCACUUCGAGCUGCUGUUUCUGUGUCCUUGUCUCUCUGCCCUCCCCUCUGGGGGCUGGGGAAGUGGGCCACUGUGUGGAUGGCACAACUAGAGGCAGAAAGGAAGUGAGAAAACAUGCAAAGAACAAGGGUGUUGUUUGAUGCCAAAACCUCAAGGUCUUUAAUUUUGUAAUAGUGUUUUUACCGGGUGAGGGAGAAUAAAUUGUUGAUAUUUAUUCACAAAUAUCAGGAAUUGGUGAUUCCCAAAACUGAUGCAUGACACUUUAGGGGGUGCCUGCUUGAUUUGAUAGGGUUUAUAAAAUUCUAAAAAAGGAUACAAAACAGAAUCAUCUGAAAAACAUAAACUUCAGCUAAAAUUUUUUGAAUAAAGAAUAACUAUG